This 184-nucleotide transfer-messenger RNA is filed under the name Boseongicola sp. RNAcentral describes it as "partial transfer-messenger RNA". It matches the Rfam family "Alphaproteobacteria transfer-messenger RNA", at positions 175 to 355 of the family's 355-position model. Rfam says of the family: Bacterial tmRNA, also known as 10Sa RNA or SsrA, is named for its dual tRNA and mRNA-like properties. Its role is to liberate the mRNA from a stalled ribosome. Lineage: Bacteria; Pseudomonadati; Pseudomonadota; Alphaproteobacteria; Rhodobacterales; Paracoccaceae. The record is from RNAcentral.
UAAAGGGGUUUUGCUUUGUCUCGGUGAGGUACCACCGAUAUCGGUCCAUCAAAGCUAGUUGCAAAUGACAACAAAGCUCCAAUGGCGAUGGCUGCGUAAGCAGUCGGAACUAUUGAAAUCUAAGUCCUUAGGCUUUGCAGCUUAAGGCGGGGUUCGCAGGCACCUGGCAACAGAAGCCUGCACU